RNAcentral lists this ribosomal RNA (859 nucleotides) under uncultured bacterium. RNAcentral describes it as "bacterial SSU rRNA". It matches the Rfam family "Bacterial small subunit ribosomal RNA", at positions 60 to 909 of the family's 1533-position model. The record is from RNAcentral.
AGUCGAGCGGUAUGGAGAAGCUUGCUUCUCCAGAGAGCGGCGGACUGGUGAGUAACACGUGGGUGACCUACCCUUAGGAUGGGGAUAGCCACUAGAAAUAGUGGGUAAUACCGAAUGUGGUUGCGAGACUGUGGUCUUGCAAAGAAAGGAGCUACGGCUCCGCCUGAGGAUGGGCCCGCGUCCCAUUAGCUAGUUGGUGAGGUAACGGCCCACCAAGGCGAUGAUGGGUAGCCGGCCUGAGAGGGUGAACGGCCACACUGGGACUGAGAUACGGCCCAGACUCCUACGGGAGGCAGCAGCUAAGAAUAUUCCGCAAUGGACGAAAGUCUGACGGAGCGACGCCGCGUGGAUGAAGAAGGCCGAAAGGUUGUAAAAUCCUUUUGUCGAUGAAGAAUAAGCAUGGGAGGGAAUGCCCGUGUGAUGACGUUAGUCGGCGAAUAAGCCCCGGCUAAUUACGUGCCAGCAGCCGCGGUAACACGUAAGGGGCGAGCGUUGUUCGGAAUUAUUGGGCGUAAAGGGCGCGUAGGCGGUCCUGUAAGCCCGGCGUGAAAACCUGGAGCUCAACUCCGGGCCUGCGCUGGGAACUGCGGGACUAGAGUCAUGGAAGGGAAGUUGGAAUUCCAGGUGUAGGGGUGAAAUCUGUAGAUAUCUGGAAGAACACCGGUGGCGAAAGCGAACUUCUGGCCAAUGACUGACGCUGAGCGCGAAAGUGCGGGGAGCAAACAGGAUUAGAUACCCUGGCUAGUCCGCACCAUAAACGAUGUACACUACGCGUUGGGUCGAGUGACUCAGUGCCGAAGCUAACGUGAUAAGUGUACCGCCUGGGGAGUAUGCCCCGCAAGGGUGAAACUCAAAGGAA